This is a long non-coding RNA of Clupea harengus (Atlantic herring), 1288 nucleotides long. Lineage: Eukaryota; Metazoa; Chordata; Actinopteri; Clupeiformes; Clupeidae. The record is from Ensembl.
GGGGGAGGGGGGGGGGGGGGCGCUUGCCUGAAGUGAAUCCGGUUGUUGUGAUCGAGAGCACAUUGCUCUUUGAAGGGGAAAGGAGAGGGGUUGAGGCAGAGAGGGGGAGGGGGGAGGGGGAUUUUAGGUUUUUUCGGAGAGGGGAGGGGAGUGCAUGCUUGGAGGAGGUGGCCUGAAGGGUCCAAUGCGAGAGGAGGAUCGCAGAAGAGGAGACGCUCCCUACUGCACAGCAGAGCAGGAGCAGGGAUGUUAGUGUUGGGACCAGGAGGUGGAUUUGUCUCUAGGGAGGGGGAUGUGUCUCUAGGGAGGGGGAUGUGUCUCUAGGCAGAGAGGAGGGGGAUGUGUCUCUAGGGAGGGGCAGAAAGGAGGGGGAUGUGUCUCUAGGGAGGGACAGAGAGGAGGGGGAUGUGUCUCUAGGGAGGGGGAUGUGUCUCUAGGGACAGACAGAGGUUGUAGCGGUGAUGCAGAGUGUUAGUUUAGUUUAUGAGCAGGUAAUCUCCACAUGUGUCAGAGAGUGAAAAGAGGUAAACAGAAGGAAGGAAGGAAGGAAGGAAGGAGGGGAUUAUUGAAUGUAAUGAAUACUGCUCCUAGUUUCACCAUUGCCCUACAUUUCUCAAGAAUUCUAAUAUGUGGGCACAGUGUUUGUUUUAUGAUGGUGAAGAUCAUUUGAUUUGAAAUUAAAGUCGGACUGAAGUAGAGUGAGUUAUGAAGUGAAAUUCGUUUUUUUUUUUUCGUUUUUUCUUAAAGCAUCGUUGAUUCGUGAAUGUUGUUGCUCUUAUUUUCAGACACUUGGGCUUUAGGCCCAGACGGCUCUUACUGACUGGAUUAAAAGAUUGUGAGCCGUGGUGUGGCGUGGUGUGAGUCUGCUCGUAAUGCUGGCUCUGUGAGAUUGCUCUCUCUCUGGAUGUAAACAGAUUUCUUAAACUGCCCCAAACAGAUAGUUAGAGGGUUGGGUCUUCAGCCACGGCCAAUAUGGAGCCAUUCCUGUGGCGUGUGGUCUCUGACAGGGGCAAGAGAGGAGACAUGCAACUAAUGUGUGUGUGUGUGUGUGUGUGUGUGACACACACAGACAUUAGUAAACCCACACACACACACACAGACACACAAAUAGUUUGCUGUGUUGACUUGGUGGUGUCACUGCAACUAAGCAACCGCAGGUAGCACCAUCCAGCACAGAGACGUCCUGGCACCAGCGCUGUUUACCCACCUUUCUCCCUCUCUCCUUUCUGGAGGAUCACUCUAUCCCUCCCUCUCUCCUUUCUGUGGGAUCCCUCUAUCCCCCUCUCUC